Molecule: ribosomal RNA, 497 nt
Filed under: uncultured bacterium
Lineage: Bacteria
Description: partial 16S ribosomal RNA
Rfam family: Bacterial small subunit ribosomal RNA
Source: RNAcentral
GAUGAACGCUGGCGGCGUGCCUAAUACAUGCAAGUCGAGCGAACAGAUAAGGAGCUUGCUCCUUUGACGUUAGCGGCGGACGGGUGAGUAACACGUGGGUAACCUACCUAUAAGACUGGGAUAACUUCGGGAAACCGGAGCUAAUACCGGAUAACAUUUGGAACCGCAUGGUUCUAAAGUGAAAGAUGGUUUUGCUAUCACUUAUAGAUGGACCCGCGCCGUAUUAGCUAGUUGGUAAGGUAACGGCUUACCAAGGCGAUGAUACGUAGCCGACCUGAGAGGGUGAUCGGCCACACUGGAACUGAGACACGGUCCAGACUCCUACGGGAGGCAGCAGUAGGGAAUCUUCCGCAAUGGGCGAAAGCCUGACGGAGCAACGCCGCGUGAGUGAUGAAGGGUUUCGGCUCGUAAAACUCUGUUAUUAGGGAAGAACAAAUGUGUAAGUAACUGUGCACGUCUUGACGGUACCUAAUCAGAAAGCCACGGCUAACUACGUG